AUUUCUCGCCUAAACUACGUUGUCCUCACUCUCAUACCUAAAGUUAAAGGGGCUGACAAGAUCUCUCAGUUCAGGCCUAUUGCCCUCAUCAAUAACUUCGCUAAAUUUCCGGCAAAAGGUUUUACUACUAGGCUAUCCCCCAUCGUUCAGCGUACCCUCAGUCCUUUCCAAUCGGCCUUUGUCAAAGGCAGGUUCAUCCUGGACGGCAUCCUAUGUUUGCAUGAGAUCGUCCAUGACCUACGUGUUCAUGGUACUAGAGCGGUGAUACUUAAGCUUGAUUUUGAGAAAGCUUACGAUUUGGUCAGUUGGAACUUUCUUCGUCAGGUGUUACUGACCAAGGGCUUUGAUGGGGCUGUGGUGUAUAGACUUAUGCAGUUGGUCACGGGUGGCCACACUGCGAUUUCGGUAAAUGGGAAUAUCAGUAACUUUUUCGCCAACGGAAGGGUUACCCGGCUUCCCCCCUUCUCUUUAACUUCAUGGCUGACUCUCUCUCCCACAUCCUGA
This 504-nucleotide ribosomal RNA is filed under the name Triticum aestivum (bread wheat). Its description in RNAcentral is "partial small subunit ribosomal RNA". The record is from RNAcentral. Lineage: Eukaryota; Viridiplantae; Streptophyta; Magnoliopsida; Poales; Poaceae.